RNAcentral lists this ribosomal RNA (384 nucleotides) under marine copepod environmental sample. RNAcentral describes it as "SSU rRNA". It matches the Rfam family "Eukaryotic small subunit ribosomal RNA", at positions 587 to 972 of the family's 1831-position model. Lineage: Eukaryota; Metazoa; Arthropoda; Copepoda. The record is from RNAcentral.
AGCUCCAAUAGCGUAUAUUAAAGUUGUUGCGGUUAAAAAGCUCGUAGUUGGAUUUCGGCGGGCAGGGGGUGGUUUGAAUUGAUUCAACACUGACCUUUUUAUCCCGGGGUUUUGGCAGAAUUUUACGGGUGCUCUUUGCCGAUUGUCCCGUGGAACUGGCAGGUUUACUUUGAAAAAAUUAGAGUGCUCAAAGCAAGCUUACUGCUUGAAUAGUUGCGCAUGGAAUAAUAGAAUAGGAAGUCGUUUCUAUUUUGUUGGUUUUCGGAAAUCGACUUAAUGAUUAAUAGGGAUAGUCGGGGGCAUUCGUAUUCAAACGACAGAGGUGAAAUUCUUGGACCGUUUGAAGACGAACUAAGGCGAAAGCAUUUGCCAAGAAUGUUUUCA